RNAcentral lists this ribosomal RNA (447 nucleotides) under uncultured bacterium. Its description in RNAcentral is "bacterial SSU rRNA". It matches the Rfam family "Bacterial small subunit ribosomal RNA", at positions 355 to 825 of the family's 1533-position model. The record is from RNAcentral.
UGGGGAAUAUUGGACAAUGGGCGAAAGCCUGAUCCAGCCAUGCCGCGUGAGUGACGAAGGCCUUAGGGUUGUAAAACUCUUUCGUCGGGGACGAUAAUGACGGUACCCGAAGAAGAAGCUCCGGCUAACUUCGUGCCAGCAGCCGCGGUAAUACGAAGGGAGCUAGCGUUGUUCGGAAUCACUGGGCGUAAAGCGCACGUAGGCGGAUAGUUAAGUCAGGGGUGAAAUCCUGGGGCUCAACCCCAGAACUGCCUUUGAUACUGGCUGUCUCGAGGUCGAGAGAGGUUGGUGGAAUUCCUAGUGUAGAGGUGAAAUUCGUAGAUAUUAGGAAGAACACCAGUGGCGAAGGCGGCCAACUGGCUCGAUACUGACGCUGAGGUGCGAAAGCGUGGGGAGCAAACAGGAUUAGAUACCCCAGUAGUCCCUGAGCGGGCUGGCAAGGCGCAU